AUUGAACGCUGGCGGCAUGCCUUACACAUGCAAGUCGAACGGCAGCACGGGAGCAAUCCUGGUGGCGAGUGGCGAACGGGUGAGUAAUAUAUCGGAACGUGCCCAGUCGUGGGGGAUAACGCAGCGAAAGCUGUGCUAAUACCGCAUACGAUCUACGGAUGAAAGCGGGGGAUCGCAAGAACUCGCGCGAUUGGAGCGGCCGACAUCAGAUUAGCUAGUUGGUGGGGUAAAGGCCCGCCAAGGCGACGAUCUGUAGCUGGUCUGAGAGGACGACCAGCCACACUGGAACUGAGACACGGUCCAGACUCCUACGGGAGGCAGCAGUGGGGAAUUUUGGACAAUGGGCGCAAGCCUGAUCCAGCAAUGCCGCGUGCAGGAUGAAGGCCUUCGGGUUGUAAACUGCUUUUGUACGGAACGAAACGGCCCUUUCUAAUACAGGGGGCUAAUGACGGUACCGUAAGAAUAAGCACCGGCUAACUACGUGCCAGCCGCCGCCGUAA
RNAcentral lists this ribosomal RNA (500 nucleotides) under uncultured bacterium. Its description in RNAcentral is "partial 16S ribosomal RNA". It matches the Rfam family "Bacterial small subunit ribosomal RNA", at positions 30 to 523 of the family's 1533-position model. The record is from RNAcentral.